GAUGAACGCUGGCGGCGUGCCUAAUACAUGCAAGUCGAGCGAACAGACGAGGAGCUUGCUCCUCUGACGUUAGCGGCGGACGGGUGAGUAACACGUGGAUAACCUACCUAUAAGACUGGGAUAACUUCGGGAAACCGGAGCUAAUACCGGAUAAUAUAUUGAACCGCAUGGAUCAAUAGUGAAAGACGGUUUUGCUGUCACUUAUAGAUGGAUCCGCGCCGCAUUUGCUAGUUGGUAAGGUAACGGCUUACCAAGGCGACGAUGCGUAGCCGACCUGAGAGGGUGAUCGGCCACACUGGAACUGAGACACGGUCCAGACUCCUACGGGAGGCAGCAGUAGGGAAUCUUCCGCAAUGGGCGAAAGCCUGACGGAGCAACGCCGCGUGAGUGAUGAAGGUCUUCGGAUCGUAAAACUCUGUUAUUAGGGAAGAACAAAUGUGUAAGUAACUAUGCACGUCUUGACGGUACCUAAUCAGAAAGCCACGGCUAACUACGUG
This 497-nucleotide ribosomal RNA is filed under the name uncultured bacterium. RNAcentral describes it as "partial 16S ribosomal RNA". It matches the Rfam family "Bacterial small subunit ribosomal RNA", at positions 28 to 507 of the family's 1533-position model. The record is from RNAcentral.